AUUGAACGCUGGCGGCAUGCUUUACACAUGCAAGUCGAACGGGUAACAGCACUUCGGUGGCUGACGAGUGGCGAACGGGUGAGUAAUGUAUCGGAACGUGCCCAGUAGUGGGGGAUAACUACUCGAAAGAGUGGCUAACUACCGCAUGAGAUCUCUGGAUGAAAGCGGGGGACCGUAAGGCCUCGCGCUACUGGAGCGGCCGAUAUCAGAUUAGGUUGUUGGUGGGGUAAAGGCCUACCAAGCCUGCGAUCUGUAGCUGGUCUGAGAGGACGACCAGCCACACUGGGACUGAGACACGGCCCAGACUCCUACGGGAGGCAGCAGUGGGGAAUUUUGGACAAUGGACGCAAGUCUGAUCCAGCAAUGCCGCGUGCAGGACGAAGGCCUUCGGGUUGUAAACUGCUUUUUGUACGGAACGAAAAGCCUUCUUCUAAUACAGGAGGGUCAUGACGGUACCGUAAGAAUAAGCAACCGGCUAACUACGUG
Molecule: ribosomal RNA, 486 nt
Filed under: uncultured bacterium
Lineage: Bacteria
Description: bacterial SSU rRNA
Rfam family: Bacterial small subunit ribosomal RNA
Source: RNAcentral